AAUGAAACUAGUUCUACAAGCUAGCAUCAAGUCAGUUUCAGCAUGCCCCACAAGUCGGAUCCCACCUUCAGAGCCCACUUUCGUCAUCGUCUUCCUCCAGCGAUCGGCACUUGGACAUCACCUUCCUCCGAUAGUUGCAAGUGCCCCAGUUUUCUCUGUUGACUCUCCUCGACUGUUAUCGGCUCCGUCAAGCAAUCACACCACCUCCAGCAAGUAUCAUGUGCAUCAAAUUAUCUCCAGUAUGUAUCACCUGCACUAAGUUAGAUAAUUUGCACAGUUCCUCUAUAUGGCAUUGAUAAAUUCGUUACUGAUCAUGGAUCAAUGAAUUGGGUUGCUUACCAUGAUAAAACCAAUUGAUGAAGUACAGAAGAACAAACGGACAGGCAGAUAGCAAACUUCAAACAUCUGCAAGAUGCAAGUCCUUUUUCUAUUGUAAGUUAUUUCAAUUAUGUAAGCAAUUUCAAAAUUAUGUAUGACUUUUUACAUUACUUUUACAUGGUCAAAUUCUUUCACUAGUGAGAAGGUAGGGAUCACUAUACGGGGAAAUAUUUUAGCAAAUAUGGUAAAUGGAAGUUUGGCACAAAAAACAGUCAUGUCUGUCACUUCCAAUUUAAUUCAAGUAUCAAAGGUGAGAACUUUAAACUAUUUUUGCAAUACCUCCAAAUCCAAUGUUUUUAAUCGUUUAUCCAUAACUAUGGUGAUUAUUGGACUCAAUAAAUGCAUGUAUAGUUACUGUCAAAAAGAAGGUGAUUUUAAGAAAGACUACACCGAAACUUUACACAUGUCAAAAUUCUUACCAACAAGAAAUUUAAAAGAGUACCUGCAAAAAUAAGUUACACAUGUCAAAACUUUACAUUUUAAUUUUAAGAAAAACAAAUGUCCAAUUUUAUAUUUUAAACUAUAUGGUAUUCUACCUUACCUUACUCGAAGGACAGGACAAAAAUCAUGAUCAUUUUUGCAUUGGUGGUACCAAUGACAUGGUACUCUAAGCUAAGAAAGAAGGUUCUUUUCUUUUUAUGUUUGAACGGAUAUGCACCAGCAGCUUGGUGCUACAAUCCCACAUAUGCAUCUAUCAACACAUUUAGUUUUCUAUUAAAGCUAGCUUAGCAGGGGAAAUAUAUUAUCCCUACUCCUAAUGGAUGAGUUGGUUGAAUAGUAUCCAUGGUUUAUUUUCGUCCCACCACUUUCGCCUGUUUUUUUUUCGUGUGCGUCGUCUGUACCCAAGUCAAUAACCAUGUGCAUCACGCUGGAUCGGAUCAAGCGUCGCCCCUUCCGCCCACCUCACGUUCCUCUCUUCCAAUGGAGCACCGCCGCCGCCGCCGCGUCCCCCAUCUCACACGCAGGACUAGCUUGCUGCCCUCCACUGGUCGCUGCCACUCGCACCUCAACUCGGUCACCGCCAGCCUCCCCCUCCACUACAUCGCCCCGUCCCGACGCUCGCCCAUCUCCAAUGCCCGCCCCUCCACUUGAUUGACAUCGGCAACGACUGCUGCUCACCAUGCGCGGAUCUGGCCUUCGCAUAGUACUCGUGUGAACAACAUCUCCACUUCUACACCUCUACCCAACCCUCUACUGGGCUAGCCACGAAGGGCCAACGCCUCAUCGAGGAUGCCACGAAGAGGACGUUGGGACAGCUCCUAUCCAGGGUCGCGACCGCCAUGCCGGGGGCGAAGGGUGAGGCCGAGUUCGAUGAGGAGGCGUGGACACGAGGCCUAACUAUCUACUAUAAAUUGGCUUUCCCACUGUCACUGUGAGAUUGGAUUGUUGUUCCCUUUUGUGCACAUGAUUGUUCCACUUGUGAUUUAUCAUAUAUGAAUUGCUCCUUGGCAUCCUUUUGAUCCAGCGUGAUUUCUUCCUUCUUCUCAUCUUGUUAACUACUGGUUGUGUUUGUUCUCUCGCGAAAAGCCAGGACUUGGAGUUGCCUGCGAUGGUGGAGCUCGGCAUGUUGGCAGAUCUGACCGGACUGGUGAGCCCUCUGCCCACACUUGUUGAGGUCACCCUGCUUUGUGCCAUGCUCGGUAACUCACCCUCGCUGAUGGGGAUGUUAUGCACAAAAUGCUGAUGAAGUUGUGUACUGAUUCAAUGAACUAAAUUUUAAUUAGUUGAUGGUGAACAUAUUUGUAGACAGGAUGAGGCCUGAAGAUGGUAAAAUCUGACUGGGCACUUCAAAUAAUCGGCACCAUUCCUGCCUUCAAAGAAGGUUGUUCUUACGUAGAAUCAAGCAGCACAUACAAGGUGAGCACAACAAUUCAGUUAUUCUAUUUAAUAUAUGUGACGUUGAAUUACCUCCAGUUAAAGGUCUUUCAGUAAAGGCAGAUGAUGCUUCAAAUACUCUUAAUUCUCAUAGGUUUGUUAUAUUUUUUCACGUAAAUGAGGUGUUGCAACUAGGUCAACUCUGCAAGAGCUUGGGAUAUUUGAGGGAACUUCGAAUCCAUUAACUAAAUUAGGAUCUUCAUAUUCCGCCUUAGUUCUACAAAAAUGAGUUAUGCUCUAGUGUUUAGUCUGGAAAGCUCUGCCAUAAGAAGUGUUAUUCAUCAUUGCAAAAUAUUGAUAUUUCUGACAGUGUUUAACGCUCCGCAUAUACAGUUUUUGGAUUUUGCGUGAAUGAUACUUUCUAAAUAUUUAUGACCAUUCCAGCAUUCUAAUAGGUAUAGUAUUUUGUACGUCUUCCGUAGUUGCUCAAUUGGAGCUUGUAAACUGUAUUUGCACAUUUUUCUCCUCCUCUACGAAUGUCUCACUGACCCCUCUUUUUUGAUCUCAAAAUUCAGAUGAAACUUAUUUUUAAAAUCAGUACAUCUGGUCUGUGUCCGUAGCUAGCUGAUGGUUGAUGACUGUGCAUUCAUAUUGUUUAUGUAGUUACUGAAAGGUCCUUUUAAUGCAUACUUUACAUUGAGCUGAUACCUGAUAGACAAGGUAAAGUCUAGCACGUAAUCAUAGUAAUUCAUGAGGAUACAUGCAAAACCAGUAUGCUCAUAGGUCCUAACAUUUUUUGUGAUGCUUUUACUUGCUAAAUAAAUAAACUCUCUACAUCUCUGUACUACAUGAGAUAUUUGAUUGAGAAGUCAAAUAUCGUCUGAUAACCAUUGAAACAACAUAUGCAUUGAUUUGUUAAACAUAAUGGAACACAUGAAAUGUAUAUACGGGCAUGCCCUUAUGUGAAAUUGUAUUAAAUUGCUUUGAUGCUAAUGCAUGACAUUUGAUACUUGACAACCUUGGAUAUUUACUGAGAUAAAAGAACAUAGGGACUGGGAUAUCACAUCUGGUGAGAGAUUGAGUAUUCUAAAAGAUUUUAUGCGUUUCGGUCUCGAACACUCGGGCUCUGACACCAAAGGUGAGUCCUCUCAUCUCUGAGAGUAUGUAGAAAUCGUGACAUUUUCUUUGUCAUUUUUUCAUGGGGAGGGUGUGAUUAUUGAAAACUCAUGUUGGGUGUGAUAUUGUACAACAAGGAAGAAGCUUUUCACUAGUUGAAGACAGAAGGUCUAGCCUGUCUCACCGUGAUGUAGAAUUGGUGUUUAAUGGGGCAUUACCAAGCUUUGAAUAAAAACUAAUUUUGCUUUCUUGGCAAGGACUCUCGGAGGGAAGGAGCUUCAUGUUGUGAACAUUGUUAUUUUCAAUACAUAACUUUUUGUUGGUUAGCUGACAUUUUUUGAUAAAGAAAUAGUCUAAUGUUGUUUAUGAUGCAUGAGUUACUUUUAGUGGAGCUGAUCCGUUAAGAGUAUUUGUGAAGGCUUUGGAGUUGGCAAUCUGAGCAGCCUGUAUGAUAAAUGGAAGUGUGUGCGUUCAUCCAAAGCAUUCACAGAACAAAUCUUCAUUUUGGCUACUGCAGAGUGCAGAGAACGAAAUCUUUUACCUGAUUAAUUGGUAUGUUUGCUACACCUAGUCUCCUAUUUUAUGUUUGAGUUUGCAAAGCAUCGUCAGUCAGCUUACACUUUUUUAACCUGGUGAUUAAAUUUUCUUGCUUGGUUAAACUAAUUGCGCAUAUGAGUACCAUUGCCAGUCUUUAUUAGUUCAGUUUUUUUCCGGUUGAGUAUAAAGUUUCAGGUCGGAAGAUUGUUCUUCACUAUAUAACAAUAUUAGUGACAGUGAGUGCUUACCUCUCUUUUAGUAAGCUCAGUUUUGCAGAUACAUAAUUUGAUGCAUAGCUUCACUUGGACUCUAGCCUAUAUGAUCGUAUUCAGUGACCAGAAGAUACGAGAGAAUACAACAUGUUAUGUGCCCAUAUCCGCUUGAAGAGGAUAUAAAACAUGAUAUGUCACAUAGUUGCGGACACCAUCCAAUUUGUUACAUAGAUUUCUAUUUCUUUAUUUAUUUUGUAGUUUUAUUUUUGUACUGUUAUAUAAAGAAGGAAUGUGCAUUGUAGGAGGUUUGCUACAUGCUACAUAUGUCUUAUUAACUGGCAGUUAGUCAGCUUCUAUUCCAGUGCUGAGAAAUGGCACAAUUAUCUCAUGCCAUUUCAUGGGAGCAGCAGAAGUGGCAUAGAUGCAAUGGUGUGAAGCAAAAAACUAUUCAGUUCCAUAAAUAUGCACUUCCCAAGUUCCUUAUGCAAAUGAAAUGGCACACUUUUUCUUAUGCCCUCAUAUAGUGUGAAAAUUGAAGAUUAAAGAGUGAACGAUAGCAUGAUAUAACUCAAGUUCAUUGUAGGUAAAUCUUCUGCCAUAUGUAUGUGCAUAUCCCUUUUUAACAUUGAUUUCAUAUGAUGUAUUCUAUGUCAACAAUCCAUGUUGCUAUUAAUAGUUAUUUUUAUCUAUGGUUUGCAGUUGUAAAAAAUUCGUACGGGAGCAAGUAUUGCGAUCACAAUUACAGACAAGAUUCCUAAGUGCUUGACAAUGUGAGUGCUCGAGGUAAACUUGUGAUGUAAUCUUUUCAAUAGUUCCUUCAAGUUAAUCAUAUAUUAUUACUAAAAGUGCAUUAAGUCGACUAGAGGGGGGUGAAUAGGCGAUUUUUACAAAUUCGUCACAGAGGAAUUUCAAAGUGAUGAAAUUCCUAAGUCACGAGCAACUUAGCAGCGGAAUAAGUACUCAGAUGCAAGCAUAACAGAACAGUGGCACAGACAUCAUGAUGAAAUGAUAACAGGCACAGAGUACAAGAAGCGUAAACACAGGAUAAGCAGGUUGAAGACAAACUGACUGAAGAAAUUGAACUGAGGAAAUUGAGAAAAUCUUCAGUCAAAGUCUCCAAACAGUAACAAUCAGGUACAGCAACACAGUAAUGAGGAAAUGGAAGGGUUGAGAAAAUAGAACCAGUUAGCUCUGUGAAGACAAUGAUUUGGUAGACCAAUUCCAACUGCUGUUACAGUUGUACGACUAGUUGGAGCGGCUACGUCUUUAAACCUGAGGACACACAGUCCUCACCGUAUUCUCCUUGAGCUAAGGUCACACAGACCUCGCCCAAUCACUCGUGGUAAGUCUUCAGGUGACUUCCAAACCUUCACAAACUCGGUCGCUCGGCAAUCCAGAAUUUCCUCUUGGAUGCUCUAGACCAUGAUGCCUAACCGUCUGCAAGAUGCACAGUCUUCAAAGGUAACAAGUGUCGGUUCCACACAGGAACAAUCUCUUCAGUGAUGCUCAAUCACUUUGGGUUUGUAGGUGUUUGGGUUUGGGUUUUCCUCACUUGAUGAUUUUCGCUCAAAGUCCUCAGAGGAUGAGAUGCUCUCAAUGACAAGUGUCAGUUUCUCUCGGAGCAGCCAACCAACUAGUGGUCGUAGGGGCGACUAUUUAUAGCCUAGGGAGCAGUCCGACAUAAUAAGACAUAAAUGGCCUUCAAUGAUAUGACUGUUAGGUGGAUAAGAUAUAUUGGGACAGCUGGCGCAUAGCACAGCAACGGUCGGAAAUUUGGGUAUCAAAUUCUUCGGCGCUAUCAUGUUCCUCACUGGUAGGCAAUCCGCACUGGCGAAUUCCUAACUCCUCAGCCAGAACAAAUUCCUCAGAGAACAGAAGAACUUCGUCUGUGUCACUGAAGAAAUCGAUUGAACUGUAUGAGAUUUCCAAUGGCUUGACUCGAAGGGAUUGGUAGGUGUAGGAUUUUGAGAUGAGCAUCACUUGGAAACUUUUCCUAGUUUUACCUCAAACCUUGAAUCGCUUGAAUCGCUUGAAUCCACUUAGGCUCCAGAAAUGCCUCAUCUACUUUGGUGGGCUCUGUGAUCGAGACAAAAGCAAAGUGCCACAAAAGCUAGAUAAAUGUAAAGCCUUUGAGCGUGUGAGAGGACCUGGUGCAUUGAUGUCGUUGAUGAUUUUCUCGAUCUGCACUUCAUUUGCAACGCGAGGAUGAGCGGGUUGGCGAUGUUGAGUUGGCUCAACAUUUUCUUCAGAGCCAUUUUCUUCAGGUGUCCCAGCUUGUUGUUCUUCAUGUUCUGGAAUGACUUCUUCAGCAGAUUCUUCAGUAGGUAUGACAUCCUCAGUAGCCUUGAACUUGGUGGUUUCCUCAGGUGACUUUUCAUCUAACACAGGAGGUAAGUGCUCUCUUUGCGAGCAAUUAGUUUCAUCAAAUCGCACAUCUACAGUUUCAACAACCUUGUGAUGAACGGUGUUGAAGACUCUGUAGGUGUGCGAGUCCUUUCCGUAACCAAGCAUAAAACCUUCAUGUGCUUUCGGUGCAAAUUUAGAAUUGUGAUGAGGAUCUCUAAUCCAACAUUUAGCACCGAAGACUUUGAAAUAACUCACAUUGGGUUUCUUGUUAGUGAGGAGUUUGUAUGAGGUCUUUUUGAAGAAUUUGUGAAGAUAUACCAUGUUGAUGAUGUGGCACGCAAUAUCAAUUGCCUCAAUCUAGAAGUGACGAGGCGUCUUAUAUUCAUCGAGCCUAGUGCAAGCCAUCUCAACAAGAGUCUUGUUCUUGUGCUCCACGACGCCAUUCUGCUGAGGAGUGUAAGGAGCAGAUAACUCAUGAGUAAUACCAAGUUCAUCAAGAUAGUCAUCAAGACCAGUAUUCUUGAACUCGGUCCCAUUGUCACUUCUGAUGUGCUUGAUCUUCACACCAAAGUUGGUUGAAGCCCUUGAGGAAAAUCGUUUGAAGACUUCCUGCACUUCAUGUUUGUAAGUGACGAUAUGCAACCAUAUAUAAUGAGAAUAGUCAUCAACAAUAACAAAGCCAUAUAAAGAUGCUUCAUUGGUGAAUGAGGAAUAAUGAUUGGGGUCAAAGAGAUCCAUGUGAAGCAAUUCAAAUGGACGAGUGGUAGUCAUGAUAGUCUUUGAGGGAUGCUUGGCCUUGGUCAUCUUUCCAGCUUCACAAGCUCCGCACAGGUCAUCCUUGAGGAAUUUGACAUCCUCGAUGCCAAUGACAUGCUUCUUCUUCGCGUGAGUGUGCAAGUUCCUCAUGCCAGCAUGACCAAGUCGUCGACGCCAUAGCCAGCCUUCUGAAGCUUUUGCAAGUAGACAUGUAGCGGGUUGUGGUCCUGUAGAGAAAUCAACAAUGUACAAUUCUCCUCUCCUAAAGCCUUCGAAGACUUUCGAAUUGUCAGCUUCCAUGAUCACAACACAACGAUACUUGCCGAAGACAACAACCAUAUCAAGAUCACAAAGCAUUGAGACAGACAUGAGGUUGAAACCUAAGGACUCGACAAGCAUGACUUUGUCCAUGUGUCGAUCCUUUGAGAUCGCAACCUUACCUAGACCCAAUACCUUGCUUUUGCCUUUGUCAGCGUAGGUGAUAUGCUUCAGAUGCGAUGGAGAUAAAGCAGUGUCCAUCAAUAAGUUCCGAUCACCAGUCAUGUGAUUUGUACAUCCACUAUCGAGGACCCACUUAGUGGCUUUGGGUUGAUCAUCCUCCAGAUGAUUAGUGCAUCGUACGAACUCAUAUACUUCAUCAGUGAAGAAUAUGACAUCAUAUUCAUCGGAUCAAUUUCAUCAAGCAAUAGAACAGAUAAAACAAUAUGAGGACGUGAGAAAUGAAAAUUCAUUUCUUUAUGAUUAGCUUGCGUCCUUUCAAGCAUAUUCAGGUCUCCAGCAAAUUCUUUAGACGGUUAAGUUCGUCUGGAGACCUGACCCUGCAUGAGAGAUUAGUUCUUUUUCUUCACCACCCACAUCUGGAGGGGUGGCGAAGAGUUCACCAUUCUGCGAGCUCCAUAAGAGAAAGGUGGCAUAAAUGCUAAUCCACUUCGUUUCACAUAAGAGGGGUUAGGGUAAGCAUAUGAAUAAGCAGAGAAAUUCUUCGAGGACUUAUGAACAUAAUGAUUUGAAGAAUAAUGCACAUAUUCAUAACCCUUUGUCUUUCCCUAUGAGACAUAAGUGUUAGCAUGAUGAUGUUCAUAUGAGGACUUUGAGCCAUAUGAGGAAUUUGAUCCACGUGAGGAAUGUGGUCCAUAUGAGGACUUGGAUCCAUAUGAAGACUUUGGUCCAUAUGAAGAAUUUGAUCUAGGUUCCUAUUCUUCACAGGUGGUGUCAUGAUGACAUUCACCUGAAGACUUUCAUGGCACCUUUUGGGAACCCAGAUUUUCUUCAUAGGGGGACCGUUCCUGCAGUUAGUGCCAUAUCUAUCAAAUACUUCACCAUUCUGAUUUUUUAACAAUUUAUAAUUGGAGUCAAAUGACUCAUCAUAAGAAUAUGAAGAUUCACAUGUAAAACCAGAUAAAGUAGAUGGAUCUACGGGAGGUCCCUUUGUAGCAACCCAUGAGGUUUUGUGAUACUGCUCAGGUUUCCAGUAGGUCCCAUCAGCAUUGAGUUUCCUCUCAAAGGCAAUACCCUCUUUCCUAGGGUUCCUAUUGAGGAUCUGCUUUUUAAGCACAUCACAAAAUGCCUGAUUCUCUUUGAGGCUUUUGUACAUGCAUGUCACAUACAAUUCCUUCAGCCCUGCAUAGUCAGUGAUACUAGUAGCAUCCUCAGUUGAGCAAUUUGUGAUAGCAGAAACAAUUGAAGAAUUUGCAGCUGAUCUUCAUAACUCAUCCUUAGCUUCUGAAGAUCUUGCUUUCUUUGAAGAAAUUCAUAAGAAAGCUUCUCAUGAUCAGAUAAGAGAGUGUUAUGAUGACUUUGAAGGUUGCCAAACUUAGACUAAAGUCUCUGAAGAUUUUCAUUCAAAGUUUUAAUGCGAUCCAUUUCUUCACCCAACAAAUCAUCGCUCUCAUCUAGCAUGUUUUGAACUUUUUCCAAAGCUCUUUGUUGUUUAGUGGCAAGGGAAGCAAGUUUGGUAUAGUUGGGUCCAAAUUCAAAACCAGACUCAUCAUCACUAGACUCAGAUAGGUAGCAUUCAGUUACCUUGGCACCUUUCGCCAUAAGGCAUGUUGCAGAGGAUGAAGAUUCUGGUUUGAAAGUCAUCACCUUGAGUGAUUCCUUGAAAUCCUCAAACCAGGGAUCAUGACGAGUUCGAUGACCUUCAUUGACCUCAGAGAGUCAGUCCUAGAUAAGCUUCGCGUGGCAGAGGUGCAUAAUGUUCCUGAACUGAUUUUGAGACACACAGGAGCAGAUGAUGUCCUUCGCCGUGAGGUUUAGCAGAGUGUACUUUCGAAUGUCAUCAGCCUCUGCCAUCUUGCAUAGAUCGGUAAGACCAAUCUGAGUGACAGUCCAUAGUUCGCUAUUCAUCGCCAUGAGGCGCUUCUUCAUCAUGGCCUUCCACUUGGGAUAAUCAUGACCUUCAAAGAUCGGACAUGACACAGUCUUCAUUCCUACGGUCGACAUAACUAAAACUGCAUGCAGUUAAACCAAAAUCACACAGAACAAGGGAGUACCUUGCUCUGAUACCAAUUGAAAGUGCGUUAAGUCGACUAGAAGGGGGUGAAUAGGCAAUUUUUACAAAUUCUUCACUGGGGAAUUUCACAGUGAGGAAAUUCCUAAGUCACGAACAACUUAGCAGCGACAUAAUUACUCAGAUGCAAGCAUAACAGAACAAUGGCACAGACGUCAUGAUGAAAUGAUAAUAGGCACAGAGUACAAGAAGCGUAAACACAGGAUAAGCGGGCUGAAAACAAACUGACUGAAGAAAUUGAACUGGGGAAAUUGAGAAAAUCUUCAGUGAAAGUCUUCAAACAGUAACGAUCAGGUACAACAACACAGUAAUGAGGAAAUAGAAGGGUUGAGGAAAUAGAACCAGUUAGCUCGGUGAAGACAAUGAUUUGGUAGACCCGUUCCAACUACUAUGACAUAUGUAUGUCUGGUUGGAGCGGCUAGGUAUUUAAACCUGAGGACACAAAGUCCCGGACGCACAGUCCUCACCGUAUUAUCCUUGAGCUAAGGUCACACAGACUUCACCCAAUCACUCAUGGUAAGUCUUCAGGUGACUUCCAAACCUUCACAAACUAGGUCACUCGGCAAUCCACAAUUUCCUCUUGGAUGCUCUAGACCAUGAUGCCUAACCAUCUGGAAGAUGCACAGUCUUCAAAGGUAACAAGCGUCAGUUCCACACAAGAACAAUCUCUUCAAUGAUGCUCAAUCACUUUGGGUUUGUAGGUGUUUGGGUUUGGGUUUUCCACACUUGAUGAUUUUCGCUCAAAGUCCUCGGAGGAUAGGAUGCUCUCAAUGACAAGUGUCAGUUUCUCUCGGAGCAGCCAACCAGCUAGUGGUUGUAGGGGGCGGCUAUUUAUGGCCUAGGGAACGGCCCAACAUGAUAAGACAUAAAUGCCCUUCAAUGAUAUGAACGUUAGGUGGAUAAGAUAUUCUGGGACAGCUGGCAUAAUACUGCAACAGUCAGAAAUUUUGCUAUAAAAUUCCUGAGGGCUAUCAUGUUCCUCGCUGGUAGGCAAUCCGCACUGGCGAAUUCCUAACUCCUCAGUCAGAAAAAAUUCCUCAGGCAACAGAAGAACUUCGUCUCUGUCAGUGAAGAAAUCAACUUAACUGUAUGAGAUUUCCAAUGGCUUCACUCGAAGGGAUUGGUAGGUGUAGGAUUUUGAGAUGAGCAUCACUUGGAAACUUUUCCUUAGUUUUACCUCGACCCCCUUUAACAGUAUGAUGUUUCCUAUGACUCAAGAAAAAAAGAAAAUGAAACUACUAAAACAAAAGUCUUCACGCUUCAUGUUCCUCGGACGAAUAUCAAGUCUUCAAGGUCAAACCAAUUUCUUCACUUUCAAAGUCUUCAGUUGAAGACAUUCAUUUUUAGGGGUCGACUUUCUCUUUAAAUAUCAAACUCCUCAUAGACUUAUAGACCUGUGUACACUCAUCAACACAUUAGUCCCUUACCUAUAAGUCUUUAAUACACCAAAAUCACUAAGGGGCACUAGAUGCACUUACAGUUACAGUAGUUUCUUCUCCUUUAUAUUAAGACAAUCUGCUUAUGGGAGAUAUAACUUCAUGCAGACCUAUGACUUCGAAUAAAUUUGACCUAUGGGUGACAUGAACAUCUGCGGUAAGAACGACAAUGUGAUGCUCAUGGAAGUUGAGGUCAAGGAAGUGAAUACACCGAUGAUGCAUCAAUAGAUGUAUAAAUUGUGCUUGCAUGAGCAUAUUGUGGUAACAACGGGGAGGUGAUCAAGAGCAUCAACAACCUCUUUACCGGGAUCUUUCUCGCCGCAACUAAAAACAACAGUUAUUACCAGCUUGUGGGGUAGCUCCUGGGGCGUUGGAACCUUGUUGAGAAGAAGAACAAACUGUUAAUGGAGUUGUUCAACGAGGACGAGAGGAGCGGCCACAGCAAGGAUCAAAAGAAGGCAGAGUUCGACUCCACUAGCUGCCAACUCCGACGGGGGGAGGAGAAGAAAAAAAGGAUUGAUUUAAUGGUGAAAGAAACUUGAAAGCUUGUAUUAACUAUUAAAUUAUAUGUGCCCCCGUUGCAACACACGUUAGAUUAGUACACUGUCAUAUUUUCAGAAAAUUGCAGAACUAGCGAUACACCUGUCUCACAAAUAUUACGCCGAUUGUUCAGUACUUUUUUCCAAGCAUUCAGCUUUUGACUUCUUAGAAGAGAGUGCAGAGGAAUGAAUAUUUAGUGAUGGUGGCUAGGCAUUGUGAGGUUGUUGAGGGGAGGGGGCAUUUCUUGUAUUUCUAGCACACUUUCUUGUUUUUCAUGUAUUUAUAGACAAUUCUUUUCAAUACUAUGAUUGCCACUCUAGCUGUGUGCCUCACUGAACUAUGAGUAUUAUCCUCUUUGAUUGGAGCAGAAUUGUCGUACAAAAAAAAUUUAUAGGUGAUAUUCGUUGUUUCUCCUCUUAACUAUGUAUAUGGAACAAUGGAUCGCACAUAUUCCUGGAAGCUAGAUUCUCUUCACAUUUAUGCAUAGUCUUGCUGGGAUGCAGUUUUAGUAAGAAGAUAUAUUUCUUUCCAUUUAUGUAUUCUUGCUUGGAGAGAAAAAAAGCCUGAUAAUAGGCAUUUUUAUAUAAGUUUUUUUUUGCAAAAUGGAACAUAAACUAACUAUCGUUUUUGUUUUCUUACUUGUAGCGCAAAAUGUGAGAGCUUAUAUACUCACAUAAAACAAGUAGGUGUUAUGAAUUCCAUCAGUGUUGAUGUUGUAUGUCUAAUUAUUGUUGCCGUAGAUGUCAUCUAUAAACAACAAAAUUAUUUUUCAACUUUUUCUUGAGUUAACUGUUAAUGAGCACGGGAGCUCGGACGAUGCCAUACCAUAGCUUAUGCCACCUCAUUAUGAUGCGCUAUUUGUUUGUUUUUUGAAUUUUCAAACGCGCGCACGGGGGAGGGGGGUCCCCUACCUUAAUAUGUUGAUCAAAGUGGGCUACUUGUUUUACAUAGAUCCAUAGAACCAUUCAAUUCUUCUACUAUUCAUGCUAGCUGCAAGUGGUGUUCUAGCAUCUGCAGACCUUUAUUUGUUGAAAUAAUGAAAUAGCUUUCUAUCAUUACAGUUUUACAUGAAUCGGUGAUGUCUAAUUCAAAUAGUAUGUUUGUAGAGAACCAAGUGCCCUAACCAACACUAUAAAGAGAUCAUGUGAAAGUGGUAUUUGAGCAACAAUAAACCUGUGUCAUACAUUUUGUCUUGUACCUAAUAUCUCCGAUCAUUGUUGUUUUUUAUGUUAAAGUUUAUCUGUAUUGCAUUAUGAUGGUCCAUGUAAACAUACUUGGACGAGUUGCCAACCCAAUAAGAAGUUUGCUUUGUUUUUGUUGCUACCGCCUACUUUUUAAGCAUUCGAUGGGGAUGACUAAUGUAGUCAUUUUACCUUCUUACUAAAAUAGAAAAGAAAAAACAAUCAAUAGUAUUUGCUUGCUUUAAGUCAUCAAAUACUUUUCGUUGUGAUCUAUAAUUCAUUUUUUUAUUGAGUGCAUGUUGAGGUAGCAUUAUCUUUUUAUCUAGAAAGUUUGCUAUAGGCAUGUAGUGAAUUACAUCUGAAGGCGUUUUGCCACCCAUGUGCCUUGUUGCUCACCUACCAUGACGCACAGGCUCACUCCGAAUACGAGUUAGUGGAUUCAUGAUAAGAGUGAGGGUUGAGAGUGAGUGGGAUGUGGGUUGGGGUUGGUCAAAUGUGGUAAAUUGCAUUUCAGUAGAGAUGGUUUUGUGGCAAAUUGCAUGAGCGAGUGCUCCAUAUUUUUUUCAUCAAGUCAUAUAAUUUUUUGGUUAGGAUAUAAUGGUAAAUGCAUUGGUUGGUUCCUUCAAGAGUUAAUAACGGACACAGUGGCGUAUCAGUUGCAUGCCCAACAACGGACAUCAUAUUUUUGUUUCCUAGUAAUGAACGACAUUCAACUAUAUGUUACAACAUGUCAAUGGCUCAGGAGACAUUGGAUCUACCUUCUUCGCUCGAAAGGCAUUACGGGUGGUGCACACCUCCUCCCGUUUGAUGGCGACGGCGGAUCGACACGAACACUGGGGAAGGGUAUCAUGACGUAGAGCGGGGCUGUUGGCGGGGGACUCCUGUCCAUGGGGAAGUACAGUGUCAAGGAGAUAGGGUGCCAUGCCAAAGGUGCGGUGGGCGUCAUCUAAUUUUGAAGGAGAGGGCUCUAGCGAGAAAUGUCCCGCUAUGAUAGAAAAGCGAGAGAGAAUUGGAGGGUGACAUGAAAAUGGAAGAGUGCGUCGUAGGGCGGGUUUUUUGUGUUGGGACUGCAUGUUGGUGAUAACAUGUCAGAUAGGCCGGUAAACACAUUUCUCUCCUACAUAUGGGCUAAAUUGAUGGAGCCUGCACAUGCUUGGCUCUAUGAGAGAGAAAUGAGUUUCAACCUUGAAGACAACCUUAAUUUUUUAUUUUAUUUAUAUGCAUUGUAGUCCGUAGCAAUGCACGGGCAUUCUACUAGUUAACAUUCAAAUUUUAGUGAGAAUGGAUUCAAAAUCUAAAAGAAAAAACGAAAAAGAAAAGGACAGAAUGCAAAAAUAAGAGAAAAAAUCAACACAAGACAUGAGGAUUAGGAAACCACUCGAAGGAACACAGGCUAGGACGACGCAUUAGCAAGUGCUAAACUACAAACUUUAAUCCCGUUGGCUGCACUUACACAAAUAUAUUCUAGAUAUUCUAUAUACUUGGAAGUAAUCUGCAUUAGCAUACAAUUGUGUUUACUUUAAGAGUCCAUGACAACAUGGUUUUAAAUUAUUAUGUGUGCAUGCAGACUUAUCCAGUUUGGAGACACUCAAUGUUUAGUCGUGCUCAUCUUAACAUUUAAUUAUGCAAAUUAUAUUGAUAUUACACCGUCCUUUCUCAUAUGUACUUAUAUUUUUUCAAUCUCGCAAAGAAUUGAAAAAGGAAGCUUUUGUUUAUGACGACAAUAGAAUCGAAAAAGAGGCAUACUCAGUAGGUAAUGUAGAUUCGUAACAGGUCUGAUCCACAUACCCAUUCCUGAAGAUCACCAGGUCCUUAUGAU
Molecule: long non-coding RNA, 14645 nt
Filed under: Triticum aestivum (bread wheat)
Lineage: Eukaryota; Viridiplantae; Streptophyta; Magnoliopsida; Poales; Poaceae
Description: long non-coding RNA (TAES_LNC004313)
Source: RNAcentral